This 497-nucleotide ribosomal RNA is filed under the name uncultured bacterium. Its description in RNAcentral is "partial 16S ribosomal RNA". It matches the Rfam family "Bacterial small subunit ribosomal RNA", at positions 28 to 507 of the family's 1533-position model. The record is from RNAcentral.
GACGAACGCUGGCGGCGUGCCUAAUACAUGCAAGUUGAGCGCUGAAGGUUGGUACUUGUACCAACUGGAUGAGCAGCGCACGGGUGAGUAACGCGUGGGGAAUCUGCCUUUGAGCGGGGGACAACAUUUGGAAACGAAUGCUAAUACCGCAUAAAAACUUUAAACACAAGUUUUAAGUUUGAAAGAUGCAAUUGCAUCACUCAAAGAUGAUCCCGCGUUGUAUUAGCUAGUUGGUGAGGUAAAGGCUCACCAAGGCGAUGAUACAUAGCCGACCUGAGAGGGUGAUCGGCCACAUUGGGACUGAGACACGGCCCAAACUCCUACGGGAGGCAGCAGUAGGGAAUCUUCGGCAAUGGACGAAAGUCUGACCGAGCAACGCCGCGUGAGUGAAGAAGGGUUUCGGAUCGUAAAACUCUGUUGGUAGAGAAGAACGUUGGUGAGAGUGGAAAGCUCAUCAAGUGACGGUAACUACACAGAAAGGGACGGCUAACUACGUG